AUUGAACGCUGGCGGCAGGCCUAACACAUGCAAGUCGAGCGAGCGGCGGACGGGUGAGUGAUAUGUGGGAAACUGCCUGAUGUGGGGGGAUAACAACUGGAAACGGUAGCUAAUACAGCAUACCAUCAGAUGUGCCCCGAUGGGGUUAGCUGGUAGGUGGGGUAAAGGCUCACAUAGGCGACGAUCCCUAGCUGGUCUGAGAGGAUGACCAGCCACACUGGAACUGAGACACGGUCCAGACUCCUACGUGAGGCAGCAGUGGGGAAUAUUGCACAAUGGGCGCAAGCCUGAUGCAGCCAUGCCGCGUGUGUGAAGAAGGCCUUCGGGUUGUAAAGCACUUUCAGCGGGGAGGCGUUACCCGCAGAAGAAGCACCGGCUAACUCCGUGCCAGCAGCCGCGGUAAUAC
Molecule: ribosomal RNA, 406 nt
Filed under: uncultured bacterium
Lineage: Bacteria
Description: partial 16S ribosomal RNA
Rfam family: Bacterial small subunit ribosomal RNA
Source: RNAcentral